GAAGCGGCAGCGGCCCUGCAGGAAGAAGUGGCAGAUGGCUGCGGCCUCCGCAGGGUUGCCGGGCCUCUCGCUGCUCCUCUGAUUGGUGUUAUUUUUGACAAUUAAGAAUGCUUGACUAGACCCCAAGGAGAACAAAGCAAAAGGAAAAGGACCGUAUGUAGGAAAUGAUGAAGGGUAUGGUUUCAGGAAAACCAGAGGACUGAUACAAAGUAAGGUGAGUAGUACCAGGAGACUAAUCUACAAAGGAACAACAAUAUUGUAAAGAUAAUCACCAAUAAAACAUUUAGUAAUCGGUUGCUGCAAUAAUCCACUACAGCUCCAAAGGAUUUAUGAUGUAAAAUUCUAUCUGCUUUCAAGUGGAGAACUGAUGGACAAAGAGCACAGAUUGAAACUUUUUUUUCUUCACUUAUUUUUCUUUCUUUUCUGGAACAUGGCUAAUGAAGAAAUAUACUUUGCAUGAUUUAUAUGUAUAAUAGCUAUUAUAUUAGAUGCCCUCUCAAUUUAUAUGGGAGAGGAUGGAAGGACAGAAAGA
This is a non-coding RNA of Phascolarctos cinereus (koala), 532 nucleotides long. The record is from RefSeq and is a predicted model, not a curated record. NCBI's taxonomy places the organism in Eukaryota, Metazoa, Chordata, Mammalia, Diprotodontia, Phascolarctidae.